Molecule: transfer RNA, 88 nt
Filed under: Scedosporium apiospermum
Lineage: Eukaryota; Fungi; Ascomycota; Sordariomycetes; Microascales; Microascaceae
Rfam family: tRNA
About the family: Transfer RNA (tRNA) molecules are approximately 80 nucleotides in length. Their secondary structure includes four short double-helical elements and three loops (D, anti-codon, and T loops). Further hydrogen bonds mediate the characteristic L-shaped molecular structure. tRNAs have two regions of fundamental functional importance: the anti-codon, which is responsible for specific mRNA codon recognition, and the 3' end, to which the tRNAs corresponding amino acid is attached (by aminoacyl-tRNA synthetases). tRNAs cope with the degeneracy of the genetic code in two manners: having more than one tRNA (with a specific anti-codon) for a particular amino acid; and 'wobble' base-pairing, i.e. permitting non-standard base-pairing at the 3rd anti-codon position.
Source: Rfam by way of RNAcentral
GGGCGGCUGGCGCAAUGGUAGCGCGUUGCUCUCCUACUAAACAGGGAGCAUCAAGCAAAGGUUGCAAGUUCGAGUCUUGCGUCGCUCG